CUCCUACGGGAGGCAGCAGUGGGGAAUAUUGGACAAUGGGCGCAAGCCUGAUCCAGCAAUGCCGCGUGUGUGAAGAAGGCCUGCGGGUUGUAAAGCACUUUCAGUAGAGAAGAAAAGCCUAGGGUUAAUAACCCUGAGUCUUGACGUAACCUACAGAAGAAGCACCGGCUAACUCCGUGCCAGCAGCCGCGGUAAUACGGAGGGUGCGAGCGUUAAUCGGAAUUACUGGGCGUAAAGCGCGCGUAGGCGGUUUUGUCAGUCGGAUGUGAAAGCCCUGGGCUUAACCUGGGAAUUGCAUUCGAUACUGCAUAACUAGAGUAUGGUAGAGGGAAGUGGAAUUUCCGGUGUAGCGGUGAAAUGCGUAGAUAUCGGAAGGAACACCAGUGGCGAAGGCGGCUCUCUGGAACGGUACUGACGCUGAGACGCGAAAGCGUGGGGAGCGAACAGGAUUAGAUACCCUGGUAGUCCACGCCGUAAACGAUGGGCACUAGAUGUGGGCGGUGUCGACUCCGUCCGUGUCGAAGCUAACGCAUUAAGUGCCCCGCCUGGGGAGUACGGCCGCAAGGCUAAAACUCAAAGGAAUUGACGG
This 589-nucleotide ribosomal RNA is filed under the name uncultured bacterium. Its description in RNAcentral is "bacterial SSU rRNA". It matches the Rfam family "Bacterial small subunit ribosomal RNA", at positions 336 to 916 of the family's 1533-position model. The record is from RNAcentral.